CCUACGGGAGUCAGCAGUGGGGAAUAUUGGUCAAUGGGCGCAAGCCUGACCCAGCAACGCCGCGUGAAGGAAGAAGGCUUUCGGGUUGUAAACUUCUUUUAUGAGGGACGAAAGAAAUGACGGUACCUCAUGAAUAAGCCACGGCUGACUACGUGCCAGCAGCCGCGGCAAUCCGUAGGUGGCAAGCGUUAUCCGGAUUUACUGGGUGUAAAGGGCGUGUAGGCGGGACUGCAAGUCAGAUGGGAAAAUUACGGGCCUAACCCAUGACCUGGCGUUGAAACUGUAGGUCUUGAGUGCUGGGGAGGCAGGCGGAAUUCCGGGUGUAGCGGUGAAAUGCGUAGAUAUAAGGAGGAACACCAGUGGCGAAGGCGGCCUGCUGGACAGCCACUGACGCUGAGGCGCGAAAGCGUGGGGAGCAAACAGGAUUAGAUACCCGAGUAGUC
RNAcentral lists this ribosomal RNA (443 nucleotides) under uncultured bacterium. RNAcentral's name for it is "partial 16S ribosomal RNA". It matches the Rfam family "Bacterial small subunit ribosomal RNA", at positions 338 to 795 of the family's 1533-position model. The record is from RNAcentral.